GACGAACGCUGGCGGCGUGCUUAACACAUGCAAGUCGAACGGAAAGGCCUGCUUUCCCUUGUGGAUUGCGGGUACUCGAGUGGCGAACGGGUGAGUAACACGUGAGUGAUCUGCCCCCAACUUGGUUAUAAGCCUGGGAAACUGGGUCUAAUUCCCGAUAGGACUGCAGGGUGGUGCCUGUGGUGGAAAACGAUUUUCUAGUGGUUGGGGAUGAGCUCGCGGCCUAUAAGCUUGUUGGUGGGGUAAUGGCCUACCAAGGCGGCGACGGGUAGCCGGCCUGAGAGGGUGGACGGCGACAUUGGGACUGAGAUACGGCCCAGACGCCUACGGGAGGCAGCAGUGGGGAAUAGUGCACAAUGGGCGGAAGCCUGAUGCAGCGACGCCGCGUGGGGGAUGACGGCCUUCGGGUUGUAAACUCCUUUCGACCGCGAGGAAGCCACCUGGUUGGAAGGGUGGUGACGGUAGUGGUAGAAGAAGCACCGGCUAACUACGUG
This 494-nucleotide ribosomal RNA is filed under the name uncultured bacterium. Its description in RNAcentral is "partial 16S ribosomal RNA". It matches the Rfam family "Bacterial small subunit ribosomal RNA", at positions 28 to 507 of the family's 1533-position model. The record is from RNAcentral.